Molecule: long non-coding RNA, 3985 nt
Organism: Actinia tenebrosa (Australian red waratah sea anemone)
Lineage: Eukaryota; Metazoa; Cnidaria; Anthozoa; Actiniaria; Actiniidae
Source: RefSeq, a predicted model, not a curated record
GUUACUAUGUCAACAGCGAUAUCUUCACAUGUGAAAGAUAUGGUAUCUUCCACUGGUGAAAGAUAUCAAGUUCUCAACACUAGAGAAAACCAGGUAUUUCAUCGUUAUCUAUAUUAUAAAUAGAUUUUGAUCACAUUCUUUGGCUAGGAUCCUACGAUGAUGUUGAUUUGGGUAUGUUUAGUAGCAUUUAAAGASGAAAAGAAACGGAGUAAAACAACAACAUCGUGUUUAUUCCGACAUCUUGUAAAACUACUAGCACGAGGCAACAUCGUAGCGCAAUGCAUACUGGGAGCUAUAGCGUUAAUUACGUAAGCAUAAAUUACAAUCUAUCAACAGAUAUGGCAUCAUUAAAGCUACUGUUAUAUAUUUUAUUAAAAAAAUUUGGUGGUAGUGGUGGUGGGAGUGGUGGUGGUAGUAGUAGUAGUAGUAGUAGUAGUGGGAGUGGUAGUAAUAGGACUCCAUGCUGUCCAAUUAAGAAAUAAUUGGACGAGGAAAAUUCCGAUGACUUCAAUUAGAUGAGGCAGUAGGCCGAGGAAUUUUUCGAGUCUAAUUAUUUCUUGAUUGGAGAGCUUGAAAUCCCAUUACUUAUUAAUUAUAUAGCUGCCUAUUUAAUGCCAUGUCAGCAAGACCUGUCCAAUUAAUGAUGGUAAUUGAACUGAGUGGAGUGCAAUUUGGACCAAAAUCAUACGAGUGAUUACAAAAUUGCACGUCCGCGUAGCGAGAGCGCAAUUUGUUAAUCACAAGUAUGAUUUUGGUCCAAAUUUGCACGACACGAAGUUCAGUUACCACUUAAUUAAUCAUGUCCUUUUUUGUAAUCAUACACAAGAAAAAGACACAUUAAAUAUCAUUAAUAAUGCUAAACAUUCUCUUCUCUGAUUGGCUGAAUAUAAGAAAUCUAUUCUGUUAUUGGUUCUUCCAAAAAGAUGCGAUUAAGAGCUCCUUAGGAUCCGAUAUGGGAAUUAAUCGCACUCCUUUGAACCAAUCAGAUUGAGGACUUGGUAGUGAUUAUAAAAAGGAUAUGAUUAAGAAAACAAUUGGGCAGUUACCUAUAUGGGAUUAAUGAGAAGAUGCAUAAUUAUUAUUAUUAUUGCCGUUUCGUUACUCAAAGUAACAUAAGUUAUACAUAAGUAAUAUAACAUUACUCAUAAGUUAUAUUGUAACAAUAAUCAAUAAGCACACACAUCACUUUAACAAUAUAGCCUGAAUGCAUAGGCUGAUGGUCCUUUUCUGGUGGUACGUGUCUUCCUAAUUUCACAGUGGCUGGUACAUUUCAACGAAAUAAAGAAGUCGCGCGAAGAAUGCCGCUUUCCAUUUACACAGGUAUUGAAAUAAAGCUUGUCGUGUUGUAUUUCGUAUAACGAAUAACAUGUAAUCUUUUUUACCCAGCUUCAAAGGUAAGAGGACAAAUGGYUUUCAACCAGUUUAUUAUUUUUUUSCUUUAUDAUGUCUAAAACAUGCAUCCUUUUGCGAGUGUCAUUAUCAUAGGGUAUUUUGUUUGGUAAUCACAUUCCCAGUGCAUAAAAUCCCAUUUUCCCAUCCCAAAAAAGGCGCGAAUCCCAGCUCCCAUUUUACCCCUUCAGGACCCUUUUGUCACAUUCAAAGUAUAUUUAAAUUCAAAAUUCAAAAUAACUUGUUUUACAGCUUCGUAUCCUCGAGGCAAUGGCUGCUAAGAUCACGCUCUUCUUUGGAGUGAUUUCGUGAAAGGAUCACAGCCAAGUCAUCUAAGGCACCAUUUACACUUACAAAAUAUAAAAAUAACAUGAUAAGUAAUAAUUAUUUUCGAAACACAGGUGUCCUGUCGAUGACACUCUCCAAAAUCACUAUCACUACAUUUUAAAGUUUUAGAACACAGCCUUCAACUUAAGUAAUGAUAUGAAAGACUUAAACCAGUAAGAUGUAAACCUGUAAUUAAUUGAGUAAUUGAUUAAUGGAUUGAUUGCUGGGUUGGUGGGUUGGUGGGUCGGUGGGUCGCUGGGUCGCUGGGUUGCUGGUUGAGUGGCUUUUAUUUGGAUUUCUUUGCAUUGUUAAUCCUUUUACUUGUCUUUUGGCUACGAGAAAUGUAAAUCCAUCCAAUAAUGCAUUUUCUCUUUUUUUCUUUAUUUUAGAUUCAAAGGAUUUAGUGCACUUUAAUGAUCAUAAUCCGCUUAUAAUAUCCAUAACAGUUGGGGUUGCAGUGGUUCUUUUGGUAAAAUAAGUGUUCACUAUAAAGUAAGUACUGGCUGAUACUACUAGACACUGGAUAAAUGUCAUUUUAAAGUACAAUGCUUACAACGUAUGGUGAUUUUAAGCCGACAAUACGAGUUUGUAUUGGCGGCUAGUUGGGAGAAAAUUUAUUCCGUAUUGGCUGUAGUGGCGAAUAAAUUUUCUUCCAACGCCGGCAAUAUAAACCCGUAGGAAAAUUGAUUUAACUUAAUACACCGUAUGGUUUGUGAUGUUUAGAAACUGACGUUUCGGACGUUAGUCAUUCGUCGGAGUAAAUGUAAAGUGAUGGAGGUGGAGAUGUGUAUAUAUAGGGAACGUGGAAGGUGAAUAACCAAUGAGAGAUAAGUAAGCGGAAAAACGAAAGAAAACAAGAGGAUUAAAAGUAAUGAUAGAUUAAUUAAAGGCGAAGCGCUCGUUCAUGCCAAGAGGGUUGUGCGUACCUAAGGUGUGAAUAAGCCUCAUUUCUUUAGUUUUGCGACAAUGGUUGCCGCUGGUAAUUAAAGAUAAGCCAAAAACAACAAAGUCAUAGAUACAUGAAGAUAUAGAAAUAUAGAUAAGUUAUAGUGCUUGGGAACGAGGUUAUUCCGGGCGAAAGCCCUUGGAAUUAAAUUCGGCAAAAUUAAUUUCCGACCUCGCUGUCAGAGAUAGAAUGAUCGGGAGAAUAACAAUGGCGGGAAACUGGUUUGGAAGGAUCAUUAGUCCGAAUAUUAUAGAGAUGAUCCCUUAUGCGGUCACCUAAACGGCGUCCAGUUUCACCGAUGUAUAACUGAUUAAAGUUAUAACAUUGAAUGCAAUAAAUAACGUUAGAUGUGGUACAAUCAAAAUGGUAAGUGAUGGUAAAAGUAGAUGUGRGACCUGUGACAGAAGUGCGAAGAGCGAUGAAAGGACAAGYGUUGCAACGUUUACGAGAACAACGAAAGGUGCCAGGUUCUUUAUCAGAGGGAAGAGUUCCUUUAACAAGGAAAGCACGAAGGUUACGAUCUCUUUUGAAGGAGAAAAGGGGGCGUUCACUGAAAAUAUUAGAAGUCGUGGAAUCUGAUUUGAGUAAAUAGAAGAUGCCUUCUGCAAAGCACGAUCAACGAUAGAUGCCGGGYACUUACGAUCAAUAAAAAAAGAACGCAUUUCACGGCAUUUGUUAGARAAAUCAAUGUCGUCACUACAAAUGCGACGUAAACGCAGAAACUGUGAAAAGGGGAUAGAAUUGGGCGUGUGCUUAGAAUGCGAUGAAGAGUACUAUAAAUAGGAAUGAGAAUCGGUAGGUUUGUAAUGCACGCUGGCACUGAGAUGGUUAGCUGUGAUACUGAUAGAGAUAUCCAGAAAGGAUAUGGAGGUUUCACUAAUUUCCGAGRUGAAUUCAAGUGAAGGGUGAAAAGAGUUAACAUAAGAGAUAAAAGCCUCAAGAUCAGAUUUACUACAAGAUGUAGCACCAAUGCAAUCGUCGAUGUAACGACAAAAAAGUUCAGGCUUGGGACCAGUGUACUGYUGAAAAAUUUGCUCUUCAAUGAAACCCACAAAUAAAUUAGUGUAACUAGGACCCAAUUUAGUGCUCAUAGCUACGCCAUUGACUUGUUGAAAAUAGCGGCCAUCAAAAGAAAAACAAUUGASUUUAAGAACGAGAUCAGCUAAGCGUAGUAAAGUAGCAGUGCURGGUUCUAAAACAGUACGGCGAUCAAARARAUGUUCGAGAGCAARAAGUCCUUCGUUAUUAGGAAUGACUGUAUGAAGAGAUUUGACAUCCAAAGUAAACAAAUACUUAGAAAACUAAAAUCGUUGAAGAUUCUAA